RNAcentral lists this unclassified non-coding RNA (314 nucleotides) under Hevea brasiliensis (rubber tree). Lineage: Eukaryota; Viridiplantae; Streptophyta; Magnoliopsida; Malpighiales; Euphorbiaceae. The record is from RNAcentral.
GCAGCAAUUCAAAAGCAAAACAGAGUUAACACAAUACAGGCCCAUAAAAGAAUGAGAACCAGCACAAGGCUCACAACAAUUCAGUUCUGUUUUGCUCUUACAGGUUGGACUCACUAAUUCUCUUCCAUCUCCUGAUGCCUCUAAUUGCGAAGUGAAAUUUCUUGGUUAUCUAUUCAGUUUUAACUGAAGCGUGUUGGCAACAUGGUGAGAACUCAAGGCUCAAUGCUCAUGUUGGUGAAGUUAACUUCUCUGUUUUCGUUUAGUCUUACUGCUUGAACUCAGAAUGUUGCAGACGUAAAUCCCAUAAGGAGCUA